Molecule: non-coding RNA, 204 nt
Organism: Vicia faba (fava bean)
Lineage: Eukaryota; Viridiplantae; Streptophyta; Magnoliopsida; Fabales; Fabaceae
Source: the annotation of a GenBank genome assembly
AUGGAGGAGAUCAUCAAUAAUAACAUCAAUAUUUCAUCUAUAUUUUCAUUUUUUUUUUCAAUUGUUCAAAUACUAACCAAUCUUGAUUGUAGCAAGCAAGAGAGUACUCACAGCAUUGUCAUUUUCAAAGCUAGAGAACAAAGUUGUAAGGAGGCACGAGAAAGGCACAAGAUGAGGAAGUUACGGAAAAAGAACUGUUGGUGA